CCUACGGGAGGCAGCAGUGAGGAAUAUUGGACAAUGGACGCAAGUCUGAACCAGCCAUGCCGCGUGCAGGAAGACGGCUCUAUGAGUUGUAAACUGCUUUUGUACGAGGGUAAACGCAGAUACGUGUAUCUGUCUGAAAGUAUCGUACGAAUAAGGAUCGGCCAACUCCGUUCCAGCAGCCGCGGGAAUACGGAGGAUUCAAGCGUUAUCCGGAUUUAUUGGGGUGAAAGGGCGCGUAGGCGGUCGUGUAAGUUAGAGGUGAAAGCCCGGGGCUCAACUUCGGAAUUGCAUGUGAUACUGUGCGGCGAGAGAGUAGUUGAGGUAAGCGGAAUGUCUGGUGUAGCGGUGAAAUGCUUAGAUAUCA
Molecule: ribosomal RNA, 364 nt
Filed under: uncultured bacterium
Lineage: Bacteria
Description: partial 16S ribosomal RNA
Rfam family: Bacterial small subunit ribosomal RNA
Source: RNAcentral